This 360-nucleotide ribosomal RNA is filed under the name uncultured bacterium. Its description in RNAcentral is "partial 16S ribosomal RNA". It matches the Rfam family "Bacterial small subunit ribosomal RNA", at positions 338 to 695 of the family's 1533-position model. The record is from RNAcentral.
CCUACGGGUGGCAGCAGUGAGGAAUAUUGGUCAAUGGGCGCAAGACUGAACCAGCCAAGUAGCGUGCAGGAUGACUGCCCUACGGGUUGUAAACUUCUUUUAUACAGGGAUAAAAUGAGUCACGUGUGCCUUUUUGUAUGUACUUUAUGAAUAAGGAUCGGCUAACUCCGUGCCAGCAGCCGCGGUAAUACGGAGGAUCCGAGCGUUAUCCGGAUUUAUUGGGUUUAAAGGGAGCGUAGAUGGGUUGUUAAGUUAGUUGUGAAAGCUUGCGGCUCAACCUUAAAAUUGCACUUGAUACUGGUAGUUUUGAGUACAGGUGAGGUAGGCGGAAUUCGGGGUGUAGCGGUGAAAUGCUUAGAU